Molecule: ribosomal RNA, 495 nt
Filed under: uncultured bacterium
Lineage: Bacteria
Description: partial 16S ribosomal RNA
Rfam family: Bacterial small subunit ribosomal RNA
Source: RNAcentral
GACGAACGCUGGCGGCGUGCCUAAUACAUGCAAGUAGAACGCUGAAGGAGGAGCUUGCUUCUCUGGAUGAGUUGCGAACGGGUGAGUAACGCGUAGGUAACCUGCCUGGUAGCGGGGGAUAACUAUUGGAAACGAUAGCUAAUACCGCAUAAGAGUAGAUGUUGCAUGACAUUUGCUUAAAAGGUGCAAUUGCAUCACUACCAGAUGGACCUGCGUUGUAUUAGCUAGUUGGUGGGGUAACGGCUCACCAAGGCGACGAUACGUAGCCGACCUGAGAGGGUGAUCCGCCACACUGGGACUGGGACACGGCCCAGACUCCUACGGGGAGCAGCAGUAGGGAAUCUUCGGCAAUGGAGGGAAGUCUGACCGAGGAACGCCGCGUGAGGGGAGAAGGUUCUCGGGUCGGAAAGCUCUGUUGUAAGGGAAGAAAGAGUGUGAGAGUGGAAAGUUCACACUGUGACGGUACCUUACCAGAAAGGGACGGCUAACUACGUG